This is a long non-coding RNA of Helianthus annuus (common sunflower), 1562 nucleotides long. RefSeq lists it as uncharacterized. The record is from RefSeq and is a predicted model, not a curated record. Lineage: Eukaryota; Viridiplantae; Streptophyta; Magnoliopsida; Asterales; Asteraceae. The transcript is spliced from 5 exons.
GACUAUGACACAAACUACAUGGAAAUACACUCUGUUUGCUCAAGUGAAAACAGUUAGGUAUCCAUUUUUGCCUACUCUUCUGUUGUAUUUCUAAACAGACCAAGGUUCUAUGCAGCAGAUGAAUCGAUCUUUUUCACACCCGAAGGUUCUACGCUGCAGAUGAAUCGAUCUUCUUCACACCCGAAGCUACCUUCGAAUUUUACAAAACAGCAACUGCAUGUUCUUAAAGCACAAAUAUUAGCUUUUAGACGUAUAAAGGUAUUUGUUAAGUGUACAAUUUUAUAUAUUCGAGUGAUCUUCACACCCUAAGCUCAUUUGAAAUGACUGUUGGGUUAAAACAGUGUUUUGAAACCACUGUUAGGUUAAACAGUGUUUGAAACCACUGUUAGGUUAAACAGUGUUUCGAAACGGCUGUUAGGUUAAACAGUGGUUUCAAAACACUGUUGGGUUAAAACAGUGUUUUGUGGAGAAAACAGUGGUUCUUUUUUUCCAAACAGUAGUUUGACUUUGGUCAAACAGACUGUGGUCAAAUAGCGUUUUAACUUUGGUCAAACAGGGUUUUAACUUUGGUCAAACAGACUUUUGAACCACUAAGAAUCAUAUUUUUGCAAUCAGUUGUUUGACUUUGGUCAAACAGUGGUCAAACAGUGUUACAAGAGUCCAGCCAGGAUGAAGUCGAGAUUUGUACAUAAAGUUAUUUGUGCGAUUUGCAAUACUGAACAACAGGUUGCUCAAAUAUGUACCAACCGUGGAGUGAAAAUGGGGGAAUACUUCUGCGGAAUUUGCAAGUUCUAUGAUGAUGAUGUAAAAACUACCUACAUUUAAAAAUGUUCGAAUAAUAUGCUAAUAUCUACUGUUUUUUUUUAUUUGUGCUUUGUGACUAGACUUCGAGGGAACAGUUUCACUACAAUGAUUGUGGGAUUUGUAGGUUAGUAAGGAAGUGAUAUUGCUUACAUGGGAGGUAUAGUGGAGAAAUUGGGUUGUUUGUUUAUCAUCUUCGUAAUUUGUGCUUUGUGACUAGACUUCAAGAUUUUUGAUUGUCACCAGCAACCGUUAUGUUGUUUAUCAUCUUCGGUUUUUGUGUCAUAACUAAUAUGAGGUUAUAUUAUCAUCUCUAUUUCAACGGAUGCUUGUAUGGUUUGUUGCAUUUGGGUGUAUUGGUAUUUGGAUUUAUAUGUUGAAACUGAUUUCAUUGAAGUGCACAUAGGUUGCUCGAUCAAAUGCCACAAUGAAAUUUUGGUGUUUUUUAUUGAUUUCUUUCGGUUUAGACCUAUUGGAUUCGAUUUGGAUUAUGUCUGAACAAAAUGGAUUCCAUACAUCACCCUACUCAAUUCGAUUUGGUUUGGUUUGGUUUAAUUGCAGUUUGGUAGUUGUUUUCGAACAGGUAUGGCUUUGUGUUAGGUGUUCAUUUUAAUUUAAUACUUUCAUGUGAUAUAGAAUAAUCUCACUAUUGGUUGAUUAUAUUUAUCGUGAUUACCUUUAACUUUUUAUUGUGCUUAAACACGAAUAUAUUCCAUAAUCGUUGGUUUCGUUUGCCUCGAUAAGCUUCUUUUGGUUUAAAA